RNAcentral lists this long non-coding RNA (616 nucleotides) under Helianthus annuus (common sunflower). Its description in RNAcentral is "hypothetical non coding rna". The record is from RNAcentral. Lineage: Eukaryota; Viridiplantae; Streptophyta; Magnoliopsida; Asterales; Asteraceae.
GCUUCUUUCACUCGCUCACUCUAUACACGCAUUCAUUUCCUCAAAGCGAAUACUUAUUCUCACGCCGAAUGGUGGACCAACGGAAGACCAUCAGACUUGUUUGGCGAAGGAAAGAACAGAGAUUGACUGUUAUUUACAAAACGAACCGGCUAGGUCUAACCAUGGGCGGAUCUAUAUAAGGACUAGGGAUAGCCCGGGAUACCCCUCAACUUUCUUGACGAAGUAUAAUUUUUUUUAUUUUUUUCCGUUUUAUGUGUUCGGAGAUCCUUGGGCAAACAUUAGGAUACCCCUGAAUGCAAUAUUAGAAAGAGAUGAGAAGAAAACGAAAUGUUUUUUUAAGAAGAGUUAAAUAACCAUAGUUGAGCUCUCGAAGUUGCAGAAACCUUGAUGAAGAAGAAGAGUGGUUUUUAAAACCAAAAUGUUCUUAUUAAAAACAUUUAUCCAACCACGUGACCACUCUACCUAAUUUAUUCAAAGUUUUCUAUUUUCUUUAUUAUUUGUAAAAUUGUCAGUCAACUUGAUGUCCAUUAUUUAUUUAUUUUCUAUAUUUAUGUAUUUCUUUUUUUAAUUUUUUUUAUUAUUAAAUUAUACUGAAUAUUAUUAUUAUUAUUCUAUU